UACAGAGGGGGCAAGCGUUGUUCGGAAUUACUGGGCGUAAAGGGCGCGUAGGCGGCCUUCUAAGUCGAACGUGAAAUCCCCGGGCUCAACCCGGGAACUGCGUCCGAUACUGGAAGGCUUGAAUCCGGGAGAGGGAUGCGGAAUUCCAGGUGUAGCGGUGAAAUGCGUAGAUAUCUGGAGGAACACCGGUGGCGAAGGCGGCAUCCUGGACCGGCAUUGACGCUGAGGCGCGAAAGCCAGGGGAGCAAACGGGAUAGAUACCCCUGU
This 267-nucleotide ribosomal RNA is filed under the name uncultured bacterium. RNAcentral describes it as "partial 16S ribosomal RNA". It matches the Rfam family "Bacterial small subunit ribosomal RNA", at positions 524 to 791 of the family's 1533-position model. The record is from RNAcentral.